UAUUUUCUUUAUAAAUCCUGAGUUUCCAUUGGCAAACAGAGUUUGCUAUGAAUUAAUUUGAAAUAAAUACAGGAUUUUUUAAAAUUUGUCAACAAGUUUUACUUUUGAUUGCUAACAGCUUCAUUUUUCUACAGCACUAAUGUGCAAUAACAUAAUUAAUUGGUGUCAGUACAGAGAUGUACUUAAUCGUUGCCAUAGACUCAGAGAAGAAAGUAUAUGGAUCCACUAGAAAUAGAUUUUUCAGACUUACUAAUGCAUAUUAAACAAACAAACAACAACAAAAAACAAACAAAAAAAAAAAAACAGGGAGUUUGGAAGUCACUGUUUCUCAUAAAAUGACUGCUGUACUAAGCUACAGGUUGAGAUGACAACUAUUAAUAUCCACGAAACCUUGUUUUUCAAUCUGUAGUCCACACCUUUUGUUCCCUGUCAGCUGACAAUUCUACUGCCUGCUAAUUCUGAAGACUGGCUGCAAAAUCCAGUUCCUUCCCUCCACAUCGCUGCUCCUGCAGCAGCCACGAGGCCAUGGUUCAGGGGACUCCUGCCUAGCAUGGCCUCCUUGGGUCAUUCUAAAUCCUUUGCACCAGAUGUGAAUGCAGCACAUAAUGUUUCUACAGUAGCUGCAUGCCCAUGCAAACUAAUUCCAAAUGUUUUUGGUUUUUUUUUUUUGGUGGUUUGCCCUCUACUGUCUUAUUCUCUUUUCCACAUCACUUUUUGUUAUGUACAGCUGAGAGACUGGUUUUGACUUGGUUAGCUCCAUUUUUGCAAGACUCUUAAUUGCUUAUAAUUUAGGUGUGUUCAUACAUAUGGAAUGAUCUGAAUUAGAAUCGCUGCUUCGAUCAUAUGAGGUCAGAAAAUUAGCUGAAGAAAUAAAUGGAGUUGUCUCAUCAUCUAAAGCGUUCUCAGAUAAAGGGGGAAAAAAUAGCUGAUGUCCUUUAGGCAGAAGAUUUUUGCUGUUCUCUGCAAAAGAAACUGUCACAGUUGGACAUGCAAUAACAUUCCUCUCAGCUGGAAGAUUAAUAUCACUUCACCUCUCUUAUACAUUAUUCUCAUCUGCUGUGCCAAACUGAAAUUUGUUUCCAUGUGCCCUGUAAGGAAAAUAAACUUUUUUGCCUGUUAUACGAAGAAAAUUAGUUUUCAAAUUAACCAUUCUCCUGUGCAGUUUUACUGCACACUCAUGUUCAUAGCUCCUUGGCUUGUGACUCGGAGAUUUUUGUAUUUUUACUUUGUUUUUCAUUGCUAUUUCUUUUUUUUCAGGGCCUGAUUUUUGUGGAUUUCUGUAGCAUUACCAAGAAAUUCCCAUUUACUCUGGGAGCGGCAAGGCUGUAUUUGAAAUCUUCUGAUCGAAAAAAAAAAGAAAUGAAGAAAGCCACAAAAAAUAAUUGGAUGGGAAUGAGAAACUUGAAAUAACUCCUCAAAAUUGAUCAUUAAGUUUGAAAAUUCUGUUCUUGGUCAAUAUCUUAAACCAUAGAAGACCACCACAAUAUGAUUUUUUUAACAGUUAUUAUGAUUUAUUUAUUUUUUUACUUUUAUUUAAGGUAUUUCCUUUACUUUUCACUUAUCAACAACU
Molecule: long non-coding RNA, 1570 nt
Filed under: Gallus gallus (chicken)
Lineage: Eukaryota; Metazoa; Chordata; Aves; Galliformes; Phasianidae
Description: lncRNA (ENSGALG00010007248.1)
Source: RNAcentral